ACCGACAUCAUGGAUUCGUUCUUUGAACCGCGGCCCACUGCCAGGUAAGAGCUCAUGCCCAGUUUUUCCAUCUCUUCUUCACCAAUGAUUUUGGUGGUGAUGGUUUCAUAGUCAUCAGCCAGGCGACGAGCCUGAGACGCCAGGUAAGCUGGGUUAGCAAUGUUUGGUGGCAUGUUGCCAAGAUCUUU
Molecule: non-coding RNA, 188 nt
Filed under: Vibrio fluvialis
Lineage: Bacteria; Pseudomonadati; Pseudomonadota; Gammaproteobacteria; Vibrionales; Vibrionaceae
Source: RNAcentral